AGCAUAUCAAUAAGCGGAGGAAAAGAAACCAACAGGGAUUGUCUUAGUAACGGCGAGUGAAGCGACAAAAGCUCAAAUUUGAAAUCUGGCACCUUCGGUGUCCGAGUUGUAAUUUGAAGAAGGUAACUUUGGAGUUGGCUCUUGUCUAUGUUCCUUGGAACAGGACGUCACAGAGGGUGAGAAUCCCGUGCGAUGAGAUGUCCAACUCUAUGUAAAGUGCUUUCGAAGAGUCGAGUUGUUUGGGAAUGCAGCUCUAAGUGGGUGGUAAAUUCCAUCUAAAGCUAAAUAUUGGCGAGAGACCGAUAGCGAACAAGUACAGUGAUGGAAAGAUGAAAAGAACUUUGAAAAGAGAGUGAAAAAGUACGUGAAAUUGUUGAAAGGGAAGGGUUUGAGAUCAGACUUGGUAUUUUGUAUGUCUUGCUUUCGGGUGGGGCCUCUGCAGUUUACUGGGCCAGCAUCGGUUUGGACGGUAGGAUAAUGACAUUGGAAUGUGGCACUACUUCGGUGG
Molecule: ribosomal RNA, 508 nt
Filed under: Scheffersomyces shehatae
Lineage: Eukaryota; Fungi; Ascomycota; Pichiomycetes; Serinales; Debaryomycetaceae
Description: eukaryotic LSU rRNA
Rfam family: Eukaryotic large subunit ribosomal RNA
Source: RNAcentral